CCGAGUGUAGGGUUCCUAGC
Molecule: ribosomal RNA, 20 nt
Filed under: Aspergillus flavus
Lineage: Eukaryota; Fungi; Ascomycota; Eurotiomycetes; Eurotiales; Aspergillaceae
Description: partial 18S ribosomal RNA
Source: RNAcentral